UUGAGUUUGAUCCUGGCUCAGGAUGAACGCUGGCGGCGUGCCUAAUACAUGCAAGUCGAGCGAACGGAUAAGGAGCUUGCUCCUUUGAAGUUAGCGGCGGACGGGUGAGUAACACGUGGGUAACCUACCUAUAAGACUGGAAUAACUUCGGGAAACCGGAGCUAAUGCCGGAUAACAUUUGGAACCGCAUGGUUCUAAAGUAAAAGAUGGUUUUGCUAUCACUUAUAGAUGGACCCGCGCCGUAUUAGCUAGUUGGUAAGGUAACGGCUUACCAAGGCAACGAUACGUAGCCGACCUGAGAGGGUGAUCGGCCACACUGGAACUGAGACACGGUCCAGACUCCUACGGGAGGCAGCAGUAGGGAAUCUUCCGCAAUGGACGAAAGUCUGACGGAGCAACGCCGCGUGAGUGAUGAAGGUUUUCGGAUCGUAAAACUCGGUUAUUAGGGAAGAACAAAUGGUAAGUAACGUGCACAUCUGAC
Molecule: ribosomal RNA, 481 nt
Filed under: uncultured bacterium
Lineage: Bacteria
Description: bacterial SSU rRNA
Rfam family: Bacterial small subunit ribosomal RNA
Source: RNAcentral